This is a long non-coding RNA of Cervus elaphus (red deer), 347 nucleotides long. RefSeq lists it as uncharacterized. The transcript has 3 exons. NCBI's taxonomy places the organism in Eukaryota, Metazoa, Chordata, Mammalia, Artiodactyla, Cervidae. The record is from RefSeq and is a predicted model, not a curated record.
UUUCCCUCGGUUUUCCCAGGCAUUUCCGGUUCCGCUACCUGGGUCUCCUCUGUGCGCUCCUUACCCGCAGACCUGAGGAAGUGGAACGUUAGCGUGACCGCGGAGGGAGGGGCGUAAUGUUUCAGGGAAGAAGGAGAGCAAGUAGAUGAGGAGAAUCCGGUACCCGAAGAGUAUCGGUACUGAAAUGUGGGUUCAGCCGGCAUUGUCCCAUGGGUCGUAAACUUCGGUCGAGCCGGGGAGGAAACAUUGCAGCCAAUUAAGAUGCUAUAUAGAAGUUUUUGAUAGCAUGGGGAAAUGUUUCCAAUAUUAAUUGACCAUAGUUUCCAGCCCUGGGUGUUCACUGGAAG